Molecule: ribosomal RNA, 274 nt
Filed under: uncultured bacterium
Lineage: Bacteria
Description: partial 16S ribosomal RNA
Rfam family: Bacterial small subunit ribosomal RNA
Source: RNAcentral
AUACGAGGGGUGCAAGCGUUAUUCGGAAUCAUUGGGCGUAAAGGGUGCGUAGGCGGCACAUUAAGUCAGUUGUUAAAUUCCUUGGCCUAACCAAGGCUCUGCGACUGAUACUGGUGAGCUUGAGGAUGGAAGAGAGAAGUGGAAUUCUCGGAGUAGCGGUAAAAUGCGUAGAUCUCGAGAGGAACACCGAUGGCGAAGGCAGCUUCUUGGUCCAUUCCUGACGCUGAGGCACGAAAGCGUGGGUAGCAAACAGAAUUAGAAACCCCAGUAGUCC